UGGGACGUGGUGUAUGGUGCAGCGCUGCAUUCAACUAUGAAUUGGGCACCUGUGAAGCAGCAGGCCGGGGUUCGACUCCCCGCGUCCCAC
Molecule: non-coding RNA, 90 nt
Organism: Mycena epipterygia
Lineage: Eukaryota; Fungi; Basidiomycota; Agaricomycetes; Agaricales; Mycenaceae
Source: the annotation of a GenBank genome assembly